This 513-nucleotide long non-coding RNA is filed under the name Linum usitatissimum (flax). RNAcentral's name for it is "long non-coding RNA (LUSI_LNC007081)". The record is from RNAcentral. Lineage: Eukaryota; Viridiplantae; Streptophyta; Magnoliopsida; Malpighiales; Linaceae.
CACAACUUAUUUUGGUGGGUUGACGAACGGAGGUGGGUCGAAUUUCACUAUGCUUAAGUGGGGAUCAAUACUUUGUAGGCGAGUUGAGUUCGAACUCGAGCUAAAAAAAUGUAAGCUCGUGAGCCUAUUCGAACCUGGCUAGGUAAUUACUUUCAACGAGCCUAACUCGAGUUUUGUUCUUUAAAACCCUUGAUGAAUCGGUUUUGACCUGAAUUUGAGGCAAACACAUGUAGCACAAUCAUAAACUAACAUAUGAUUUAUUGUAUAUUUGUAUGAGGCAAACACAUGCGGCAUUUUUUUAGUCUACUAACGUCUAACGCGCCAUAUACUUGAGCUAAUAUUUAAAUUGGCUAUCAAGCUCCAACUCUAGCCAACUCGUGAGCCUAUCAAAAGUCGAAAUAGCAUAAACUGGCUCAAGUUUAGCUCAUUCGAGUCACGAACAAUUUUUUUUUGUCCUGAUGCCGAGCUACUCGCCAGCAGAUGUUUAAAAGUAUCGAUUGUAACGACAGGGGG